Molecule: non-coding RNA, 166 nt
Organism: Ceratotherium simum simum (southern white rhinoceros)
Lineage: Eukaryota; Metazoa; Chordata; Mammalia; Perissodactyla; Rhinocerotidae
Source: RefSeq, a predicted model, not a curated record
CUUGGUUUUAACCAUUACAAUGACCUGCUCCUGCUUCACUAAUGGCUACAUGGACUGAGCAUAUCAACAUCUAUUUCCUAGCACCCAAGAUUUUCCCAUGAUGCUCCCUGCCCCUUCUGCAGAUCAGCAUCCCCUGGGUUGUCUUCCUAGCCUACACCAAGGGAUG